UGGGGAAUCUUCCGCAAUGGACGAAAGUCUGACGGAGCAACGCCGCNUGAGUGAUGACGGCCUUCGGGUUGUAAAGCUCUGUUAAUCGGGACGAAAGGCCUUCUUGCGAAUAGUGAGAAGGAUUGACGGUACCGGAAUAGAAAGCCACGGCUAACUACGUGCCAGCAGCCGCGGUAAUACGUAGGUGGCAAGCGUUGUCCGGAAUUAUUGGGCGUAAAGCGCGCGCAGGCGGAUAGGUCAGUCUGUCUUAAAAGUUCGGGGCUUAACCCCGUGAUGGGAUGGAAACUGCCAAUCUAGAGUAUCGGAGAGGAAAGUGGAAUUCCUAGUGUAGCGGUGAAAUGCGUAGAUAUUAGGAAGAACACCAGUGGCGAAGGCGACUUUCUGGACGAAAACUGACGCUGAGGCGCGAAAGCCAGGGGAGCGAACGGGAUUAGAUACCCCGGUAGUCCUGGCCGUAAACGAUGGGUACUAGGUGUAGGAGGUAUCGACCCCUUCUGUGCCGGAGUUAACGCAAUAAGUACCCCGCCUGGGGAGUACGACCGCAAGGUUG
This 550-nucleotide ribosomal RNA is filed under the name uncultured bacterium. RNAcentral's name for it is "bacterial SSU rRNA". It matches the Rfam family "Bacterial small subunit ribosomal RNA", at positions 355 to 896 of the family's 1533-position model. The record is from RNAcentral.